UCAGUGUGUGUGUUAGUGGAAGCGUCUGGAAAGGCGCGCGAUACAGGGUGACAGCCCCGUACACAAAAAUGCACAUGCUGUGAGCUCGAUGAGUAGGGCGGGACACGUGGUAUCCUGUCUGAAUAUGGGGGGACCAUCCUCCAAGGCUAAAUACUCCUGACUGACCGAUAGUGAACCAGUACCGUGAGGGAAAGGCGAAAAGAACCCCGGCGAGGGGAGUGAAAAAGAACCUGAAACCGUGUACGUACAAGCAGUGGGAGCCCUGAUUUAUCAGGGUGACUGCGUACCUUUUGUAUAAUGGGUCAGCGACUUAUAUUCUGUAGCAAGGUUAACCGAAUAGGGGAGCCGAAGGGAAACCGAGUCUUAACUGGGCGUUAAGUUGCAGGGUAUAGACCCGAAACCCGGUGAUCUAGCCAUGGGCAGGUUGAAGGUUGGGUAACACUAACUGGAGGACCGAACCGACUAAUGUUGAAAAAUUAGCGGAUGACUUGUGGCUGGGGGUGAAAGGCCAAUCAAACCGGGAGAUAGCUGGUUCUCCCCGAAAGCUAUUUAGGUAGCGCCUCGUGAAUUCAUCUCCGGGGGUAGAGCACUGUUUCGGCAAGGGGGUCAUCCCGACUUACCAACCCGAUGCAAACUGCGAAUACCGGAGAAUGUUAUCACGGGAGACACACGGCGGGUGCUAACGUCCGUCGUGAAGAGGGAAACAACCCAGACCGCCAGCUAAGGUCCCAAAGUCAUGGUUAAGUGGGAAACGAUGUGGGAAGGCCCAGACAGCCAGGAUGUUGGCUUAGAAGCAGCCAUCAUUUAAAGAAAGCGUAAUAGCUCACUGGUCGAGUCGGCCUGCGCGGAAGAUGUAACGGGGCUAAACCAUGCACCGAAGCUGCGGCAGCGACACUGUGUGUUGUUGGGUAGGGGAGCGUUCUGUAAGCCUGCGAAGGUGUGCUGUGAGGUAUGCUGGAGGUAUCAGAAGUGCGAAUGCUGACAUAAGUAACGAUAAAGCGGGUGAAAAGCCCGCUCGCCGGAAGACCAAGGGUUCCUGUCCAACGUUAAUCGGGGCAGGGUGAGUCGACCCCUAAGGCGAGGCCGAAAGGCGUAGUCGAUGGGAAACAGGUUAAUAUUCCUGUACUUGGUGUUACUGCGAAGGGGGGACGGAGAAGGCUAUGUUGGCCGGGCGACGGUUGUCCCGGUUUAAGCGUGUAGGCUGGUUUUCCAGGCAAAUCCGGAGAAUCAAGGCUGAGGCGUGAUGACGAGGCACUACGGUGCUGAAGCAACAAAUGCCCUGCUUCCAGGAAAAGCCUCUAAGCAUCAGGUAACAUCAAAUCGUACCCCAAACCGACACAGGUGGUCAGGUAGAGAAUACCAAGGCGCUUGAGAGAACUCGGGUGAAGGAACUAGGCAAAAUGGUGCCGUAACUUCGGGAGAAGGCACGCUGAUAUGUAGGUGAAGCGACUUGCUCGUGGAGCUGAAAUCAGUCGAAGAUACCAGCUGGCUGCAACUGUUUAUUAAAAACACAGCACUGUGCAAACACGAAAGUGGACGUAUACGGUGUGACGCCUGCCCGGUGCCGGAAGGUUAAUUGAUGGGGUCAGCGCAAGCGAAGCUCUUGAUCGAAGCCCCGGUAAACGGCGGCCGUAACUAUAACGGUCCUAAGGUAGCGAAAUUCCUUGUCGGGUAAGUUCCGACCUGCACGAAUGGCGUAAUGAUGGCCAGGCUGUCUCCACCCGAGACUCAGUGAAAUUGAACUCGCUGUGAAGAUGCAGUGUACCCGCGGCAAGACGGAAAGACCCCGUGAACCUUUACUAUAGCUUGACACUGAACACUGGUCCUUGAUGUGUAGGAUAGGUGGGAGGCUUUGAAGUGUGGACGCCAGUCUGCAUGGAGCCGUCCUUGAAAUACCACCCUUUAAUGGCUGGUGUUCUAACGUGGGCCCGUAAUCCGGGUUGCGGACAGUGUCUGGUGGGUAGUUUGACUGGGGCGGUCUCCUCCUAAAGAGUAACGGAGGAGCACGAAGGUUGGCUAAUCCUGGUCGGACAUCAGGAGGUUAGUGCAAUGGCAUAAGCCAGCUUGACUGCGAGCGUGACGGCGCGAGCAGGUGCGAAAGCAGGUCAUAGUGAUCCGGUGGUUCUGAAUGGAAGGGCCAUCGCUCAACGGAUAAAAGGUACUCCGGGGAUAACAGGCUGAUACCGCCCAAGAGUUCAUAUCGACGGCGGUGUUUGGCACCUCGAUGUCGGCUCAUCACAUCCUGGGGCUGAAGUAGGUCCCAAGGGUAUGGCUGUUCGCCAUUUAAAGUGGUACGCGAGCUGGGUUUAGAACGUCGUGAGACAGUUCGGUCCCUAUCUGCCGUGGGCGCUGGAGAACUGAGGGGGGCUGCUCCUAGUACGAGAGGACCGGAGUGGACGCAUCACUGGUGUUCGGGUUGUCAUGCCAAUGGCACUGCCCGGUAGCUAAAUGCGGAAGAGAUAAGUGCUGAAAGCAUCUAAGCACGAAACUUGCCCCGAGAUGAGUUCUCCCUGAGACUUAGAGUCUCCUGAAGGAACGUUGAAGACGACGACGUUGAUAGGCCGGGUGUGUAAGCGCAGCGAUGCGUUGAGCUAACCGGUACUAAUGAACCGUGAGGCUUAACCUU
Molecule: ribosomal RNA, 2626 nt
Filed under: Escherichia albertii
Lineage: Bacteria; Pseudomonadati; Pseudomonadota; Gammaproteobacteria; Enterobacterales; Enterobacteriaceae
Description: partial 23S ribosomal RNA
Rfam family: Bacterial large subunit ribosomal RNA
Source: RNAcentral